This 89-nucleotide transfer RNA is filed under the name Actinomycetota bacterium. Its description in RNAcentral is "tRNA-Ser". It matches the Rfam family "tRNA". Rfam says of the family: Transfer RNA (tRNA) molecules are approximately 80 nucleotides in length. Their secondary structure includes four short double-helical elements and three loops (D, anti-codon, and T loops). The record is from RNAcentral. RNAcentral also lists the same sequence under 1 other name. Lineage: Bacteria; Bacillati; Actinomycetota.
GGAGACGUGGCUGAGUGGCCGAAAGCAGCCGCCUGCUAAGCGGUUAGGGGGGUAAUACUCCCUCGGAGGUUCGAAUCCUCCCGUCUCCG